This is a long non-coding RNA of Bos taurus (domestic cattle), 614 nucleotides long. The record is from Ensembl. Lineage: Eukaryota; Metazoa; Chordata; Mammalia; Artiodactyla; Bovidae.
GGUGUCCGGCAAACACGCUCAGGCAGCUGGCAGAAGCAGUGCGAAUCGAUGGGCAGCAAGAGGCCCGCUCUGGCCCAGCCUCCCCACAGGGCUCUGAGACUCUGUCCCAUCUUUCUGACAAAUGCCAGGGAAGAGAAAGGCGCCUGUGUUGGAUGGGAAAGAUUACAGCUGAGCAGUAAGGCACAAAGACCCCACAGACAACCCGGGUCUAUUGUCACUUCCAGAUGAAAUCGGCCAACCCCAGGGGCCUUUCUGACUGUUCCACCCUGCAGGGACCUGGUCUGCCUCAUGUCUAGAGCACUUUUCAUAGGCCCCAUAAUCAGGCACUUGAUUCUUUGCCUGCCAUGCCCAGCUCUCAUUGUUGUGGUCGUCGUUGGUGAUUUGUGGGUCCUCUUGUGGAGAGAACAGAGAUCCGGCUGCCUCCAGCUCUCCUCCGUCAUUGAACUUGCUAUAGAGACAGGCACACAAGUUUCUGCUUGCCCACUCUAUGGAAAAUGGGACCAGCUGGCCACAGACGGAUGUACAAACCCUCCCUACCGGCUCGGACCCUCCUAGGACUAUUCGUGGGCACUCAGUCCCUUUCAGAAGCGAGGAGAUGCCCCUCACUCCAAGGG